RNAcentral lists this ribosomal RNA (465 nucleotides) under uncultured bacterium. RNAcentral describes it as "partial 16S ribosomal RNA". It matches the Rfam family "Bacterial small subunit ribosomal RNA", at positions 28 to 507 of the family's 1533-position model. The record is from RNAcentral.
GACGAACGCUGGCGGCGUGCUUAACACAUGCAAGUCGAACGGAAAGGCCCUGCUUGCAGGGUGCUCGAGUGGCGAACGGGUGAGUAACACGUGGGAGAUCUGCCCGGCACGUCGGGAUAAGCCUGGGAAACUGGGUCUAAUACGGGUAAGGAGCCAUUGUGAGUGUGGUGGUUGGUAAGAUUUUUCGGUGUAGGAUGAGCUCGCGGCCUAUCAGCUUGUUGGUGGGGUAAUGGCCUACCAAGGCGGCGACGGGUAGCCGGCCUGAGAGGGUGGACGGCCACACUGGGACUGAGGUACGGCCCCGGUGCCUAAGGGUGGCCGCAGGGGGGAAUAUUGCUCAAGGGGCGCCAGCCUGAUGCAGCGACGCCGCGGGGGGGAUGGCGGCCUUCGGGUUGUAAACUCCUUUCGCUAUGGACGCAGCUUUUUGUGACGGUACCUAGAGAAUAAGCACCGGCUAACUACGUG